ACGACAGUGGCGGAAGGCCGGGCACAGCGACUGCCGUUCGCGGACCACGCGUUCGAUGCCUGCGUGUCGCAC
RNAcentral lists this transfer RNA (72 nucleotides) under Amycolatopsis sp. M39. RNAcentral describes it as "tRNA-Gly". The record is from RNAcentral. Lineage: Bacteria; Bacillati; Actinomycetota; Actinomycetes; Pseudonocardiales; Pseudonocardiaceae.